RNAcentral lists this ribosomal RNA (476 nucleotides) under uncultured freshwater bacterium LCK-32. RNAcentral's name for it is "bacterial SSU rRNA". It matches the Rfam family "Bacterial small subunit ribosomal RNA", at positions 28 to 508 of the family's 1533-position model. The record is from RNAcentral.
GACGAACGCUGGCGGCGUGCCUAACACAUGCAAGUCAAAGGAAAGCAGCUUCGGCUGUAAGUACUUGGCGCAAGGGUGAGUAAUGUAUAGGUAAUCUGCCCUUUGGACUGGGAUAACCUCGAGAAAUCGAGGACAAUACCAGAUGAUGCAGCGGAACCGCAUGGUUAUGUUGUUAAAGAUUUAUCGCCAAAGGAUGAACCUAUAUCCCAUCAGGUAGUUGGUAAGGUAACGGCUUACCAAGCCUACGACGGGUAGCUGGUCUGAGAGGAUGAUCAGCCACAUUGGAACUGAGACACGGUCCAGACUCCUACGGGAGGCAGCAGUGAGGAAUAUUGCGCAAUGGGCGAAAGCCUGACGCAGCAACGCCGCGUGGAUGAUGAAGUUCUUCGGAAUGUAAAGUCCUUUUGUGGAGGAAGAAUAUCCCGAUUUAUCGGGACUGACGGUACUCCGCGAAUAAGCCACGGCUAACUCUGUGC